GACUGGGUUGUCUUCAGUUGAGCUCUAAACCUGAUCAAUGUAGUGCUCUCCCGUAUGUGCAGAGGAAGACUGUUCCAGAUGUUAGUGGCCCUCAC
Molecule: long non-coding RNA, 95 nt
Organism: Thalassophryne amazonica
Lineage: Eukaryota; Metazoa; Chordata; Actinopteri; Batrachoidiformes; Batrachoididae
Exons: 3
Source: RefSeq, a predicted model, not a curated record